This 1447-nucleotide long non-coding RNA is filed under the name Triticum aestivum (bread wheat). Its description in RNAcentral is "long non-coding RNA (TAES_LNC011524)". The record is from RNAcentral. Lineage: Eukaryota; Viridiplantae; Streptophyta; Magnoliopsida; Poales; Poaceae.
CCUGACUCACAGUGCAAGACAUCCCAACUCGGGUCCAUCCGGGUAAACACCGCCGCCGCCCUUGGCAGGAUCCCUUUUGGCGGCUUCGAUCUAGGAAAAAGAGGAGCGGAAGGAGAGAAGUACUGGUCUAUGACUCGGGUCAUGGGGAUGGAUGGAUCUCUCGGUAAUGGUGGAUCCAGAGUUCCAGACUCAGUUCAUCUUAUAGGCUUAAUUCAUACUGUAUCAUUUUGAUGAAUACGUUGCUCCCCUAUUUUUUCUACAAUCAAGAUGAUUUUCCUCUGUGGGGUAUGCAUAUCAUCUUCUUUCGUUUUCGUUAGAACAUAUCAUAUUUUGUUUGACAGGCAGGUACAACGAUGGCAAUAUUUGUUUUCAUCAGAAGUAUAUUUUCAUGAGAUACAAUGGCAAUCAGGUUUGUGUUUCAUGAGCUUUGUUCAUAUCACUGCUUCUCCCUAAUCCGCCUUCACUCUAAUGCAUGGCCACCCAAAAUUGUCUUCUCCUCGGUUUGUAGGCGGCACAUGCAGAAGAGUUGUGGAAGGUUGAUUGAGAAGUCAUAAGGACUGGGUGAAGCAAAAUGCAAUCUCCAAGGUUAGGUUACCUCUCAAUGCCCGUGAUGAUAUGAGUGCAACUAAACUAAUAUUUGUUUGUUGUGAUCUAUGGUUCCCACCUGCCAUGCUCAUAUAUUUCUGUUUCCACAUGAUAUGUCUUCUAUAUUAAAUUAUAGUCUUUGAUACAAUAAGUUAUUCCUUCAAAUUUAACAGUCUAGGAAGAAUCUGAAUAUGGCAACGAUUUCUUUCUUUCCUAAGCACUCCUCUCCUAUUAAAACCCAGCAUAUGCUGAACCACUGCUGCUUUAAUGUCUAAAUCUUUUGGUUUAUAGUUUAUGGCAAACCAAAUUAUGAAUCAAGUGUUCAUCUCUGAAGUUCAUAACAGUGGUCGGUUUUUAGUGUGUCUAAAGGAAAUGCACCAAGCUUUUGUACUGAAAGAUUAUCCUGACAUGGGAUUUUUUAUUCUUGAAUGAACACGGUAGCCUUUAUUAUUACUUUUAGAGAAGAUGUACACAGCUAGGAUACAGAACUACAUUCUUACUAUGAUUGGCUUAAUGCAACUAAGAUCAAGGCUCCACGAGGCUAUGUUGAUUUGUUAAAUUCCUUUCAGUUUCAGGUUUCAAAAUGAGAAAUUGGAGCAUUGAGACCUUUGAACUGAAACCUAAAUAAAGGUAUACAUAUUUAUGUUGGUCUAAAACCACCAUGUUUUAUCUGUAGAAAAUAGAAAUCGCCGUUCGGUUUCAUUUACAAAUUAAAUUAAACUAUAGACAUAGUCCACGACAUCGGGACAAAUAGAGUAACUAAUUAUAUGUAUGUUUUUUCCAGCAAAGAACUUAUUAUAAAACGGGACACCAGAAAAUCCAGUGGGAAAUUGAGGGGCUCCCCUCUUCGUAAAAAAGUUAC